UUGAAAUAUUUCAAUAAUAUUAGAUUGGAAAUAGAUUUUGUUUUUGGGUUAUAUCGCAAAAAAUCGCUUGCCUUCCGGUAAACCCUAGCCUCUGCUCCAUUUAUUCAUGUUUUUCUUUCUUUAACUUUUAUUUUUUUUAUUUUUAAUUUUUCAUCUGUUUUUAGAAAUUCGUGAUACUUUGACCGUUCAUGUAGACACUAUAAGAUCAUUUAGCGGUUGCUGUGGCUUUUGUUUAGUUUCUGGAACGUUAACUCACUGCCGCCGCCUCCUCCACCAUCUGCACCACUUCUACCACCAGUACCACCUCCUUCCACGUCACACAUGGGUUACUUUGCCGAAUGUUACUUGAACUCGGGUGUGACUGUUGGAUAUGGGUAUGUAUUUGACGUGGUUAUGGUUAGAUUUUUCCAAGUUAUGGUUUGCAGUCAUGUUACUUGUUUUCAGUAUUGGAUGAAAAAGCAGCACUAUCAGAUGGGAGCUGGUGUUUGUGCUUGAAUCCACACAUAGGGACAAGGUUCGUCAUUGUUGGUUUGUGUUUGAUUCUUUGACAUUAGGUCAAGAGUCCGCUCUUCUUGAGUCUUAAGGGAAAGGGUUUUGAUCGAAUCUGAUUUGGGGUUUGAAGACCUUGUUGCUUGGGGUACCAACUAUGUGUUUUGCAUUUGACAUGUGACGAGAAAGGAUUAUAUGAAAUUGAGAUACCAUGAAAUUUGUAUUCUUUUCCAAUAAUUUAAUGCCAUUUCAGUAUUUUCAUCUUAAAAAAAAUUAAAUCCAAAAUGAUGUCAAUUUUUUGAAUGAAAAUGCUAAAAUGAUAUUAAAUUAUUGGAAAGGGAUACAAGUGACAUGGUAUCUAAGUUUCAUAUAAUCCAUUCUCGUGUGGUGGCACGUGCACUAUAUUAUAUUUGAAAUGCCAUGUUUACUUGUAUGGUGGUGUAUAUGACAAACAUUGAAUCAACGUCUUUCACUUUCUCAUGACAUUUUUGGAACCCCAAGACGUUUGAUUGUUUGGAGUAUUUGUCUACCUUUUCGCCAAUGACAGAUCACAUUAUAGUACUUGCAUAGAUUAUUCACCAACGGUCUAAAUGAUAUAGAUGGUGACAUGGUGUGGUUGGUUUUAGUUGAUUUUGAAGAGAUUGAAAACAGCGGUGAUGAUGGGAUGACAGUGGUUUCUUUGUUUAAUAAAAUGUUGUGUGGUGGUAGCUAUCACUUAUGAGGAAAGAUCGAGAACUUAAAGAAGCAAAUGAUGUGGUGGAUGAUGACAAGUAUCUUACAAGCUAACUGUAAUCAUUUCAGAAACCUUUGAUUUUCUACAAAUUUUUUCUUCAUUUGGUUUUUGAGAUUGGAAAUUCAAUGGAAGCCUUGUUCAUUUCAUGUUUUCUCCUAAACGAAAAUGAGAAUGCAAGUCAUGUUUUCUCUUGUUCUUUCA
Gossypium arboreum is the source of this 1423-nucleotide long non-coding RNA. RefSeq lists it as uncharacterized. The transcript is spliced from 3 exons. The record is from RefSeq and is a predicted model, not a curated record. Lineage: Eukaryota; Viridiplantae; Streptophyta; Magnoliopsida; Malvales; Malvaceae.